This 585-nucleotide ribosomal RNA is filed under the name fungal yeast sp. DY38. RNAcentral describes it as "eukaryotic LSU rRNA". It matches the Rfam family "Eukaryotic large subunit ribosomal RNA", at positions 41 to 642 of the family's 3401-position model. Lineage: Eukaryota; Fungi. The record is from RNAcentral.
UUUCAAUAAGCGGAGGAAAAGAAACCAACCGGGAUUGCCUUAGUAGCGGCGAGUGAAGCGGCAAGAGCUCAAUUUGAAAUCUAGUACCUUUGGUGCUCGAGUUGUAAUUUGUAGAGUAGUGCCUUGGGGCCGUUCCUUGCCUAUGUUCCUUGGAACAGGACGUCAUGGAGGGUGAGAACCCCGUGUGGCGAGGGGUGCGGUUCUGUGUAAGGCCUGCUCGAAGAGUCGAGUUGUUUGGGAAUGCAGCUCUAAGUGGGUGGUAAAUUCCAUCUAAAGCUAAAUACAGGCGAGAGACCGAUAGCGAACAAGUACAGUGAUGGAAAGAUGAAAAGAACUUUGAAAAGAGAGUGAAAAAGUACGUGAAAUUGUUGAAAGGGAAGGGCAUUUGAUCAGACAUGGUGUUUUGCGCCCCCUGCUCCUUGUGGGUGGGGGAAUCUCGCAGCUCACUGGGCCAGCAUCAGUUUUGGCGGCUGGAUAAAUCCGGAGGAAUGUGGCUUCUCUCGGGAAGUGUUAUAGCCUGCGGGAAUACGGCCAGCCGGGACUGAGAACGCGACGCAAUCAAGAUGCUGCAUAAUGUAUAUCGGU